Mus musculus (house mouse) is the source of this 1703-nucleotide RNA transcript. It is a transcript of the gene named nucleoporin 50 like, with no coding region annotated. Lineage: Eukaryota; Metazoa; Chordata; Mammalia; Rodentia; Muridae. The record is from RefSeq and is marked provisional. The transcript has a single exon.
GCUCAGUGUGGGACACAGAGGAGGACCAUGGACACUUUUUGGAGACGCCAGGCCUGCUGACCACCAAAUCUCUCCAGGCUCCCAAUAGAGACAGCUCCCAGGCUCCACAGAGAGCUGCGGGAUCCUGAGAGAAAGCCAAAAUACAUGGCCAAAAAAAAUGCUAAGAAGGAAGCGACAGCCAGGAACUGGCAAGGAGACGCCGAAGAGGAGGGAACAUUCUCGCUGGCCAGUGAGGACGUCCUGAGGAAUAGAACCAUAAAGAGAGCCAAGCGGAGACAUGCCCGCCCCCAACCCAAUGGUAAGGGGACUUCCAAAGGGAUUAAAAGUUUGGCUGUGCCUUCCGGGAGAGGAGAAUUUAGAGGUGGCCCUGGAGAGAAGCCCCAGGAAGUACUGACAACCAGAAGGAACACAGCUAGGGCUGCAGCAGAGCCCAAGGCAGCCUUGGGUUCUGUUACUGCAAAUGAACCCCCCUCUUUGGAGCAUGAGCAGAUCUCAGAUGCCCAGACUAAUGUCCACAGUCAGCAGCCUGCCUCCCCGGGCCUCACUUUCAGUCAAGCCUGCGCUGGGAGUGUCUACCAUAGGCAGUUGACUGGCCUGAACUGCUCUGUCCGAGACUGGAUAGUGAAGCACGUGAACGCCAAUCCGUUCUGCGAUCUGACGCCGGUGUUUAAGCAGUAUGAGAAAUACUUGGCUGCCAUCGAAAAGCAACUCCACAGCAGCUGCGGCUGUCUCUCAGAAAGCGAGCCUAACCGGGGCUUUGUUGCUGUGACACAGCCUCCUUUCCUAGCUGUUGCCACUGAACUACAGCCAGAGUUGGUCACCUCUGAAAAGACCGAGUUUAUGUGUGAGAAGAAAGCCAACUCAGCACAAGGAGCAACGAGUACCUCCUGUAACUUUGGCAAAAACACUGAAACCCCGGCUUGGGGUUCCCUCAACUCUGGUCCCAUGCACCGAGUUUCAUCAGCCACCAGAAGCUCCAACGUAAGUGGGAAAGGCACCACCCGGAAGAAGCCAGCAUCUGCCAAAGCUCUAGAGAGUCCAGCACAAGGCAACAGUGAUGAAUGCAAGCUCCUUGUAGAAGAGGAGGAGGAGGAGGAGGAGGAGGAGGAGGAGGGGGAGGAGGAGGAAAGUGCUUUCUACUGCAAGAAGUGUAAACUAUUUUACAAGAAAGACAACGAAUUUAAAGAAAAAGGUGUUGGCACGCUGUAUUUAAAAUCCACAGCCAAUCAGAAGACGAAGCUCUUAGUGCGGGAUACUAAGUUAGGCAGCAUACUCCUGAAUAUUCUGAUCCCACCCGAUAUGCCAUGUUCCCGGAUGGGGAAAAAUAACGUCCUUAUCGUCUGUGUACCCGACCCACCGCUUGAUAAGAAGAACGCCACCAUCAAGGUCACCAUGCUAAUUCGGGUAAAAACAAGUAAGGAUGCGGAUGAACUGCACAAAAUUUUACUGCAGAAAACGGAUGCCUGAACACAUGGAAUCCACCCGGAAACUUGCCAAGUUCCUGCUCUUUUGCUCCGUCCCCAAACGUAAUUUUUCAUCCUUUUACUUCUGAUACCCUAAGCGCUUCCAAUAACAAAAAUGUUGUGAGCACAAUUAAGACCAACAAAAACUUCAGUGUUCAGUUGAGUGUGGAGAAAGGGUCCUCCCUUUUAAGAGCCACCUAACAUGCAAAAUACAUUUGAAUAAAAAGGUUUUGAAAUUUC